This 253-nucleotide ribosomal RNA is filed under the name uncultured bacterium. RNAcentral describes it as "partial 16S ribosomal RNA". It matches the Rfam family "Bacterial small subunit ribosomal RNA", at positions 524 to 776 of the family's 1533-position model. The record is from RNAcentral.
UACGUAGGGGGCGAGCGUUGUCCGGAUUUAUUGGGCGUAAAGAGCGCGUAGGCGGCUAGGUAGGUCUGCUGUGAAAACUCGAGGCUCAACCUCGAGACGUCGGCGGAAACCAUCUGGCUAGAGUCCGGAAGAGGAGAGCGGAAUUCCUGGUGUAGCGGUGAAAUGCGCAGAUAUCAGGAGGAACACCGGUGGCGAAGGCGGUGGUCUGGGCCGGCACUGACGCUGAGGAGCGAAAGCGUGGGGAGCGAACAGG